GACGAACGCUGGCGGCGUGCUUAACACAUGCAAGUCGAACGGAAAGGCCCUGCUUUUGUGGGGUGCUCGAGUGGCGAACGGGUGAGUAACACGUGAGUAACCUGCCCUUGACUUUGGGAUAACUUCAGGAAACUGGGGCUAAUACCGGAUAGGAGCUCCUGCUGCAUGGUGGGGGUUGGAAAGUUUCGGCGGUUGGGGAUGGACACGCGGCUUAUCAGCUUGUUGGUGGGGUAGUGGCUUACCAAGGCUUUGACGGGUAGCCGGCCUGAGAGGGUGACCGGCCACAUUGGGACUGAGAUACGGCCCAGACUCCUACGGGAGGCAGCAGUGGGGAAUAUUGCACAAUGGGCGGAAGCCUGAUGCAGCAACGCCGCGUGCGGGAUGACGGCCUUCGGGUUGUAAACCGCUUUCGCCUGUGACGAAGCGUGAGUGGCGGUAAUGGGUAAAGAAGCACCGGCUAACUACGUG
RNAcentral lists this ribosomal RNA (468 nucleotides) under uncultured bacterium. Its description in RNAcentral is "partial 16S ribosomal RNA". It matches the Rfam family "Bacterial small subunit ribosomal RNA", at positions 28 to 507 of the family's 1533-position model. The record is from RNAcentral.